This 253-nucleotide ribosomal RNA is filed under the name uncultured bacterium. RNAcentral's name for it is "partial 16S ribosomal RNA". It matches the Rfam family "Bacterial small subunit ribosomal RNA", at positions 524 to 776 of the family's 1533-position model. The record is from RNAcentral.
UACAGAGGGGGCAAGCGUUGUUCGGAAUUACUGGGCGUAAAGGGCGCGUAGGCGGCCCGCUAAGUCGAACGUGAAAUCCCCAGGCUCAACCUGGGAACUGCGUCCGAUACUGGCAGGCUUGAAUCCGGGAGAGGGAUGUGGAAUUCCUGGUGUGGCGGUGAAAUGCGCAGAUAUCAGGAAGAACACCAAUGGCGAAAGCAGCUUUCUGGGACGGUACUGACGCUGAGACGCGAAAGCGUGGGGAGCGAACAGG